Molecule: ribosomal RNA, 261 nt
Filed under: uncultured prokaryote
Description: partial 16S ribosomal RNA
Rfam family: Bacterial small subunit ribosomal RNA
Source: RNAcentral
UACGUAGGUGCCGAGCGUUGUCCGGAUUUACUGGGCGUAAAGGGAGCGUAGGCGGACUUUUAAGUGAGAUGUGAAAUACCUGGGCUUAACUUGGGUGCUGCAUUUCAAACUGGAAGUCUAGAGUGCAGGAGAGGAGAAUGGAAUUCCUAGUGUAGCGGUGAAAUGCGUAGAGAUUAGGAAGAACACCAGUGGCGAAGGCGAUUCUCUGGACUGUAACUGACGCUGAGGCUCGAAAGCGUGGGGAGCAAACAGGAUUAGAUA